This 464-nucleotide ribosomal RNA is filed under the name uncultured bacterium. RNAcentral's name for it is "partial 16S ribosomal RNA". It matches the Rfam family "Bacterial small subunit ribosomal RNA", at positions 28 to 506 of the family's 1533-position model. The record is from RNAcentral.
GACGAACGCUGGCGGCGUGCUUAACACAUGCAAGUCGAACGGAAAGGCCCCUUUGGGGGUACUCGAGUGGCGAACGGGUGAGUAACACGUGAGUAACCUGCCCUUGACUUCGGGAUAACUUCAGGAAACUGGGGCUAAUACCGGAUAGGAAUCCUUGCUGCAUGGUGGGGGUUGGAAAGCUUCGGCGGUUUUGGAUGGACUCGCGGCUUAUCAGCUUGUUGGUGGGGUAGUGGCUUACCAAGGCUUUGACGGGUAGCCGGCCUGAGAGGGCGACCGGCCACAUUGGGACUGAGAUACGGCCCAGACUCCUACGGGGGGCAGCAGUGGGGAAUAUUGCAAAAUGGGCGGAAGCCUGAUGCAGCAACGCCGCGUGCGGGAUGACGGCCUUCGGGUUUUAAACCCCUUUCAGCAGGGGCGAAGCUUGUGGUGGCGGUACCGGCAGAAGAAGCACCGGCUAACUACGU